AUGUACAAGUUCCCGGCCACAUCCACUUGUAUUUGUAGUAUUUGUAUUUUUAUCCAUCUGAUGAGUUGAGCCUCUUUUAACUGAUUUUUAUACGACCACAAAAAAAUUUUUGUGGUCCUAUAUUGGUAUGACUUUGGCGUCAUCGUCGUUGUCGUCCGAAGACACAUUAGUUUUCACACUCUAACUUUAGUUUAAGUGAAUGGAUCUCUAUGAAAUUUUACCAUAAGGUUCAAUACCACAAAAGGAAGGUUGGGAUUGAUUUUGGGGGUUAUGGUACCAACAGUUAAGGAAUUAGGGGCCAAAAAGGGGCCAAAAAUGAGCAUUUUCUAGUUUCCAGACAAUAACUGUGGAACGGUGUAUGGAUCUCUCUGAAAUUAUACUACAAGUUUCCAUACCACCAAGGGAUGGUUAGGAUUUGCUUUGGGGGGUUAUGGCUCAAACCGUUUAGGAAUUAGGGGCAAAAAAGGGGGAAAAACAAGGUUGUCCUGGUUAAUGGACAAAUACUUUAGUACAAAACAUAAUUUAAAGCAGUGUAAGGGAGAUAAAUCAAAUACAUCAUUGAAAUUAUCUCCCUUACACUGCUUUUAAAUUAUGUAUAAAGUAAUGGUUAAUGAACAAUAAAGAUAAUCUAAAACAGUGUAAGGGAGGUAAUCCAAAUACAACGUUUUGGUUACUUCCCUUACACUGCUUUUAAAUUAUGUUUAAAGAAAUGCAUAUUUAUAAAGGAAGACCAGUAAAAAUAUCUGCAAAUGUUUCCAUCUUUUUUUUUUACAAAAAAAUCCAUAUGAAAGAUUUGACACUAUAUUUUUAUUAAUUCUAUUAUAAAAUAGAUUAAGUUAGCCCUAUGGUAAAUUUAAAUGGGUAAUUAUGGUUGCCAACUCCAUUGGAAAUUUGAAUUGAGAUUAUGACCAUAUCUUGAGGGAAAGAA
Molecule: long non-coding RNA, 928 nt
Organism: Mytilus californianus (California mussel)
Lineage: Eukaryota; Metazoa; Mollusca; Bivalvia; Mytilida; Mytilidae
Exons: 2
Source: RefSeq, a predicted model, not a curated record